This 1206-nucleotide long non-coding RNA is filed under the name Strigops habroptila (Kakapo). RNAcentral's name for it is "lncRNA (ENSSHBG00005012093.1)". The record is from RNAcentral. Lineage: Eukaryota; Metazoa; Chordata; Aves; Psittaciformes; Psittacidae.
UUUAUUUUUUUUUUUCCUUAGGUGAUAAAAUUUUGAUAUGUCUCAAAGUGGGUUAAUUUUGAAAAAUUGCUCAUCAGUUUAAAUCAGAAAGACCUUUCCUAAAAUUUCUCUCAAAUAACUGGGGACAAAGGAAAAGCAUAAGUCACUUAGGUUCACUUUCACAUCACCUAACUUUAGACACCUACCUUGUAAACUACUCCCACUAUGUUCUUUUAUAUCAAUGAAUGCAUAUUGGCAUGCUCAUGGUGCAGUAAUAGUCUUUGAGAAAGGCAAAUUAAACUCUACAAGUGUGUGUUUCUAUUGUAUGUAACUACUGUCUUGUAGGGUAUCUAACAGGCAGGUCUCUGCUGCAGGGUCAUGUUUAUCCUUUCUGUGCCAUUUCAGUCCACAGCUCUUGUAGCCUUAGCGGUGUCUUGAGAUAAACAGUGUCCGUUGUUACUGUCACUGUCACAACUUUAUUCUGAGUCUUGUAUUUUUUCACUAAAAUCCUGCAUUGAAUGAUAAUUUCACUUUCAUUUAAAGAAACCACUUCAAAACACUAUAAAAAUGGAGAAAGCUUAGUCUUGUGAUCUGUAAUCUAAUGCCCCAGUAAUUUACUGAGAAUCAACUUGUACUUUUUGUGCUUUUUGGUGAGCAACACUACUGGUCAAUCUAAACUAAAUUUCUGUUUGUUUGAGUUCUUCCCAGGGAGAAGUUGCACCUGUCUAUCAGGUUUUAGCUGUUGCUGUGUCUCAUAGCUAAUUUCAUUUGCACCGUCAGAUGGAGAAAACUAAGAAGCAGGUGUUUGAAGUCUAAAGAUGUAAUUUGCCUGUAUGGUUGAGUAGGUUUCUAGUAGCACAGAACAGUCGCUAGCAGCCUGUACAUCCUCAGUCCUUACAAGGUUUCCAGCAUCAUGUUGAGCAGGACCCAACUGUAUCACAAAUAAGUGAACAGUAUGGGUUGUGCAUGUGGUGCCUGACAGCAGUAUAUGCUGCAAGAAAAGCAACGUAACAAAGAAAAAUAAAAAAUAAUAUUCCUAUUAACUCUGUAAAAUUGAACACCCCGCAAAUUGUCUGGAGGAUGAUUUUUGUGAAGAAACCUGUAUGGGAUUUCUGAAGCUUGUGCAGUUGUGACAAUGAUGAGGUAGUUAGCAUAUGAUAUGCAUAAAUUCUCAGCGUACAGGUUAGUAAUGAUAUUGCAGUAUCGAAAAUUGUGAUACGUGAAAAA